CUCAGUCAUGCAUGAUCUUAAACUACUCGAAUCGUAUUCCGCAAGGCGAAUUCGAUUUGUUUGGGUACGGUCGGUCGAUCGAUCGUCCUGUACUCGGUCACUUCAGACCGGUCAGGGCGGCAGCGAGGGCGAACAAGGUGAUCGAAUCGUUAUGGACAUGCGGGAUUCGGUCGUUCUAUCCUAUGAAGUGAUUGAAUCAAAAUGACCGAAUCAAUCGCAAUUGACACAACUCUAUAAACAUAUCAUUUCACCAGAAAUCGCGCAUGGCCAGAUAUUUACACGACGUUUAUACCAAUGAAAAACGAACCAAUUUUCUCUGUAUAUUCAUUAUUGUUAGGUUAUCGAACAGUUAUGUAAAGUAAACUUCCGGACGUUUUGAGAGUCGAGAAUUUUUGCCUCAAUAUAUAUAGGUUUACUUGUAAAUUCAGGAAAUGCUAGAAUCUGUUAGUCUUUUGGAUAGUGAAGGCGAUGUCAGCAACACCAGUGUUGUCUGAUUAUAACGAUUUUGCCGAUUUAACCUAAAACAAACCUCCAGAUAUGGUUUGCAUUGAAGAUCUACCAUCCAUGAAUGGAUUGGGUCCUGUAUCUUGUGAACGGUGUUAAAGCAGCCAGAAUUUCCAAUGGAAAUUUGAAGCAAUUGAAAACAGGCUGAUAUCUCUAUUGUGCUUAUGGAACCGGGAUAAUUUUGAACAAAACAUGAGUUUGUAGAAAAAUAAAACUUUUUGGUAAUUUUAGCGGCAAGGAGCAGUUGUUAAAGAUCUAUGAAUAGAAACAAUUUGGUUGCUGUUCUUGUGAAGUUUCUAAUUAGUUACAAGGAUAUUUGGGUGCUGUGUCACAUAGUGGCAACAAUAAAUGUUGCUGCUAGGAGGGAAUUUUAAAGUAGAAGUUUUUGGCAUUCAAAGUGCAUUGGAAGACAUGACUUUCAUAAUUGGCCCUCUGGACACCACUGGACUUCUUUUUAUGUUUUACAACACGUUUCCAGCCAACCCCACCGGAUAAAUGCGUAUUAGAGUCAGCACUAGUUUCAAAAAAGGAAGGUGGAUAGUCGCCAUUUCCAAAAAUUUAUUAUUUGAAGACAAUAGCAAUUUCCACGACCCGUUCAGAUACUUUUCAUGACUACGAAUAGAUCUUUCGUCCGUUCCAAGAGUGCAGACAAGUGGUUUAGGUAAGUCUUUUUGCAUUGUUGUCGAUCUUUGCUAUUGUUAUUCUCCGUAAUUUUAAUAGAUUGGUUAUCCUGGAAUGAAGAAAAAAAAAAGAUUGUCUUUAUAAACCUAGGUCCGCAAAUGCUUAGUUUCCAAAAUGCGGGGUGUUAAAUGUUAAAAAAAUUAUCUCUUACAACUUUUAAAAUAUUUUUGACCGGUUUUUGCAACAUUGUUUAUAAUGGUAAAAAGCCAAGUUUGCUUCCAUUAGAUUGAAAUUGUGGAGUCCAGUGCUGCCCGUUAGGUGUGCUGAUUGUAUUGUCAACUGUGCUCUAUCUACAUUUUUACAAUUUUUCUUAUUUACCUUGAAUAAACCGCUAAAAGUGUCAACUUUUUUGACUCGAACUGUUCGAAAAAAUAAUAAUCAGGAAAAUUGCCAAAACAUUUCAGCAAAUGUCCUAAAAAAUUAAGAAAAUGAUGAAAAUGGGAACCAUCAGUUUAAUUGCAAGCAUGUAGUCAAACAUAAAAAUCUUAGGUAUUAACGGAACUUAAGUCGUUAAAAUAGCUUUGAAUAGGUUUGCUUGAUUGUGGUAGACAAUGAUUUAGUAGCAAUCCUGAGAUUGUCGAAUUUAUUCUUUUUGUUUCGGUCAGAUGCCCCACCACCCCUUAUCAAUUGCAAACGUGUUAAGCGUUAGAUAAGUUAAUUAUUUUUUUAACUUUUGUUGAUGUCUUAACCUACGUGUUUAUAAAACUUUUAGUACCUAUUAUUGUAAAGUAUAUUAAGUGAAUAAUCAGCUUAAAUAUCUCGAGGUGUUAGACGGAAAUAUUUAUCUUAUUUUAUUAUUUAUUUAUUUUUUUGGCUGACGUUUCGCCAAUCGGCCGCUUGGCUUUUUCAGAGGUUAACUCGGUUAGUACAUAAUAGUAGUAACUCAAUAGGUCGGAAGAAGCUUAACUCAGUUAAGUUCUGAAGAAACCAAUAGGUUGAUUGGCGAAUCGUCAGAAAGUUCGAUUCGUUCAGAAUUCACAAGAGUUGUAAAUAACUCUAACUAAAACAAAUAUUUUCCAGUGUACAGCUGAUCAGAAUGUUCUGAACCACUAAUGUUUUCUAUGCUUUGUUUGGCUCUCUUAACUCUCACAUUUCUGCGAUAAAGUAAUGGAGCACUAUAACUAGAAAAAAAUAAUUUUGCGUCAAAUAAUUUUUUUUAAUUUCAAUCUUCAAUUAAUCCUGUUGUCACAUUCAAAAAUAUAAUCCCUUGGAUUUUUUUUUAAUUUCUAUUACAGCAUAAAUUGAUAUAUUUUGCCCGAGUUCUGUCAUUUAUUAAUUUCUAAAAACAAUAAAAUGACUUCUGUAUGAAGGAAGGAUUUUCGUACGUGUUUGUUUAUAAAAUUUUGAAGACCGUGGUAAUCUUGGAAGUUAAGCUCUUGUGAUCUAGAUUUAUAUGAACUUAUGAAUGAAUGUGCAGCCGAAAAUCGGGGCAUGUUUUUUGAAAUACCAUGUAUAGUAUACCAGAUUUACCUUUUUCUUAUUUACCUAAGUUACCCACUAAGUUAUUUAAUUCAAUUUAAUACGGUCAAAUUGCCAAAGAGCUGACCUAAAUUGUAUAUCAUAAGUUAUUGAUAAGUAAUUCAUGUAAAUCAUUGGAAAGAUAAAAAAAAAUGAUUUGUCGCUAAAUUGCCAAAAACCCUUUUUUGACACUAAUUUGUUAAUUAACGUUACAGUUGGUAUGCAGCUUUAACCAAACUAUGCGGACCGAUUUUGUUAAAGUGAUUUUUAUUAAGAAACAAACCAAAAAAUUAAAUGACCGGCACUCUUUUCUGGUUUCUUUAUUUUUUGUUUAUUUCAUUUUUAAAAGUGUGUUUGUCCUUUUUGCUGCUGUUUUUCAGGGUUAUAUAGUUUAAAAUAUAAAAUUAUAAGCGAACAACUGGUGACAAUAUGUAAACUUUUAGAAAAUUUACAUUGUUAUCGUAGCAAAAGACCAUGAGUUACGUUUUAUUUGGUCAAGUUGAAAUCUUGAGUUCGCUUAUUAAAAUUUUUGAGGUCCUUGUUCGUAUGCAUUUCAAAUUAUUUAUAAUUCGCAAGGGUAAAAGAACUACGGACUAGGAGAGUGUCAUCAACUCCAGUUGCGUUAGUAUUAGUUUGAGAAAUUAUUUUUUAUUUCUGACCAGUCUGAUUUAUUUUACAUAUACAUAGAAAAAAAAUGUUCAUAUUAUGAAGUUCUGAUAAAUGUUGUUGUUUGUGGAACAUAUGGUAAAGGUUUUCAACUCCGGUCAAGCUUUUUUUGCAAUUAUUUUUGGAUGAUUGAUAUCAAUAAAUGCGAAGAUUUUGCGUAUUUAUGCUAGUAUGAUAUAGUGUGAUAUUUCUCAGAUUUUUAUGUCGCUGCGGCCAGAUUGUAAUUUAGGUAUUUUUCUUUAGGCAUAGUAAUCAGGGAUUCUUUAAUUGGCAAAUUACGAUAAAACGGUAGUUAUAAUAAUAAAAUUGCUUUAUUUGCAGCACUAAUUAUAAUUAAUGCCUGACCAAUAAUGAAAAUCGUUUAGUUAUAAUAAAAAAAGCGAAAAAUUUAAUUAUCCUCGUACAGUGAUUCACAGUUAAUAUCACACUAGUCAGCAAUACGAUCAAAGUUUAGAAACAUUUGAUCUGACCAUCAUAUCUUUUUGGAUAUCUGUGUAUACAACAUCGCCUUGUCGGUUUUUGUCCAAAACUUCUGAGAUACACUGAGUAAUAUGGGCAAGCUUAGUAGUGGUAGAUCUCUGCAUCCUGAGGUAAAAAGAUCUAUCAAGAAAUUAUUUAAUUUGAAAUGUUUAAUUUAUCGAUGUUUGAGAUACUUAUCGUGUAUAUUUACCAAAUUAAGUGCGUCUGCAGAGUCAGCCAAAAGCGGACCAUUCUUUCACCUGCUUCGAAUCUAUGUAAGCAGAUUUGAUUCCAGGCAUAUCCAUAGGUGAGUAUAAAUGUUUGUAAAUAAUUCAAUAAAAAUCAAUAUCCAACAAAUCGUUUGUGUUGACUACCCCUUUGAUUACCGUCAAUUGUUCAAUAAAAAUCGAUA
Cylas formicarius (sweet potato weevil) is the source of this 4180-nucleotide long non-coding RNA. RefSeq lists it as uncharacterized. The record is from RefSeq and is a predicted model, not a curated record. The transcript has 4 exons. NCBI's taxonomy places the organism in Eukaryota, Metazoa, Arthropoda, Insecta, Coleoptera, Brentidae.